Molecule: ribosomal RNA, 373 nt
Filed under: uncultured bacterium
Lineage: Bacteria
Description: bacterial SSU rRNA
Rfam family: Bacterial small subunit ribosomal RNA
Source: RNAcentral
UACGGAGGGUGCGAGCGUUAUCCGGAAUUACUGGGUUUAAAGGGUGCGUAGGCGGCUUAGUAAGUCAGGAGUGAAAGUUUGCGGCUCAACCGUAAAAUUGCUUUUGAUACUGCUAGGCUGGAAUUAGGAUGAGGUCAGCGGAAUGUGGCAUGUAGCGGUGAAAUGCAUAGAUAUGCCAUAGAACACCAAUUGCGAAGGCAGCUGGCUAGACCUGGAUUGACGCUGAGGCACGAAAGCGUGGGGAGCGAACAGGAUUAGAUACCCUGGUAGUCCACGCCCUAAACGAUGCUCACUCGACGUAUGAUACUAGAUAUUGUGCGUCCAAGGGAAACCGUUAAGUGAGCCACCUGGGGAGUACGACCGCAAGGUUGAA